CUGAAUCAGAUGGUGGGGAGGAUCAAAUCGAAGCCCGGAGGGAAACCGGAAAUGGGUGAGGUCAGUAUGAGCUGGAUGACGUCAUUUUCUCUAUUGUGUAGUGUUUGUGUUGUGUUGUGUGAUUAUGUCAAUGCGGUAAUGUGAUGAUUUGGUACACAGGCACAUGUGGUGGAGAAGUAUAAGAGGCCGCUACCGAAGCUGAGGGACACGAAGCCGGAUUCUGGUAGGUUUGAGGAAAGAGCAGCUCCACCGGGGACUCUGAAUGUGUCGCAGCUGCGGCACAUUAUACUACUGCAUCAGGGCAAGGCUGAGGAUCACAAUGGCCCCAUGGAGGUGCAGAGAAUUGCGGAGAAGUUUCGGGUUGAUGUAGCUGAGGUUAGGAGGAUUGUGCAGUUUGUGUCACUGCCUCCUGAGGAUAAUAGUAAACAGAAGAAGAAUUCUUGAAGAGGGAGAGCUAUGGUUUGAUGUUGUGAACUACUGACUUUGUGUUUGAAUAAUGGAUUUGAGGAUAUAGGGACUGAUAGAGAAGUGUUAGAGAAUUCUAUAUUUUCCAUAGCAUCUGAAAAAUGUAGGGUUUUUGUAAGCUAGUGCGUAGUUUCCAAGUCAGGCAAAAAGUUGUAUCACUGCUGAGGGUUUUGAUUUGAACACAAGAUGAUAGUUCUGUUUCCUUAUGUGAAAUUACAAAAUCU
This 689-nucleotide long non-coding RNA is filed under the name Fragaria vesca (wild strawberry). RNAcentral's name for it is "long non-coding RNA (FVES_LNC001857)". Lineage: Eukaryota; Viridiplantae; Streptophyta; Magnoliopsida; Rosales; Rosaceae. The record is from RNAcentral.